This 278-nucleotide long non-coding RNA is filed under the name Elaeis guineensis (African oil palm). Its description in RNAcentral is "long non-coding RNA (EGUI_LNC007126)". Lineage: Eukaryota; Viridiplantae; Streptophyta; Magnoliopsida; Arecales; Arecaceae. The record is from RNAcentral.
UUCUCACCAGUUAGUCUUCUUCCUAUCGUCGUACUUUUUUUCAUGGAAGUUGCCUCUCCUUUCCUCCACUCUCCUCCCAUCAUUGGCCCCUUUCUUAUCAUUGCCUCCUCGUUCUUGCCUCUCCUUCCCCUCCUUGGCCCCCUUGCCACUAAAAUCGGCCUCCUUUCCACCAUCUCCCAGCUUCAUAAAAUUGCUCCCUAUCAAGGUGUUCAAUAUCUAAGUCAUUCAAAUUGCUUAUUUGGAGACUCGUAGGCCAGAAGAUGGAUCUUGACAUACUC